GCCGCAGGGAAACCGAGUCUUAAUUGGGCGUUAAGUUGCAGGGUAUAGACCCGAAACCCGGUGAUCUAGCCAUGGGCAGGUUGAAGGUUGGGUAACACUAACUGGAGGACCGAACCGACUAAUGUUGAAAAAUUAGCGGAUGACCUGUGGCUGGGGGUGAAAGGCCAAUCAAACCGGGAGAUAGCUGGUUCUCCCCGAAAGCUAUUUAGGUAGCGCCUCGUGAAUUCAUCUCCGGGGGUAGAGCACUGUUUCGGCUAGGGGGCCAUCCCGGCUUACCAACCCGAUGCAAACUGCGAAUACCGGAGAAUGUUAUCACGGGAGACACACGGCGGGUGCUAACGUCCGUCGUGAAGAGGGAAACAACCCAGACCGCCAGCUAAGGUCCCAAAGUCAUGGUUAAGUGGGAAACGAUGUGGGAAGGCCCAGACAGCCAGGAUGUUGGCUUAGAAGCAGCCAUCAUUUAAAGAAAGCGUAAUAGCUCACUGGUCGAGUCGGCCUGCGCGGAAGAUGUAACGGGGCUAAACCAUGCACCGAAGCUGCGGCAGCGACGCUGAUGCGUUGUUGGGUAGGGGAGCGUUCUGUAAGCCUGCGAAGGUGGCCUGUGAGGGUUGCUGGAGGUAUCAGAAGUGCGAAUGCUGACAUAAGUAACGAUAAAGCGGGUGAAAAGCCCGCUCGCCGGAAGACCAAGGGUUCCUGUCCAACGUUAAUCGGGGCAGGGUGAGUCGACCCCUAAGGCGAGGCCGAAAGGCGUAGUCGAUGGGAAACGGGUUAAUAUUCCCGUACUUGGUGUUACUGCGAAGGGGGGACGGAGAAGGCUAUGUUGGCCGGGCGACGGUUGUCCCGGUUUAAGCGUGUAGGUGUGUGUUCCAGGUAAAUCCGGUUCACUUUAACACUGAGGCGUGACGACGAGGCACUACGGUGCUGAAG
RNAcentral lists this ribosomal RNA (927 nucleotides) under Salmonella enterica subsp. enterica serovar Durham. Its description in RNAcentral is "partial 23S ribosomal RNA". It matches the Rfam family "Bacterial large subunit ribosomal RNA", at positions 665 to 1590 of the family's 2925-position model. The record is from RNAcentral. Lineage: Bacteria; Pseudomonadati; Pseudomonadota; Gammaproteobacteria; Enterobacterales; Enterobacteriaceae.